AAGAGGUGCUACGAGCACCAAGAACUGCUAAUUCUUAUUACUGAAGUUAAAGUCCUCAGACCUCUUA
Molecule: transfer RNA, 67 nt
Filed under: Callisaurus draconoides
Lineage: Eukaryota; Metazoa; Chordata; Lepidosauria; Squamata; Phrynosomatidae
Description: tRNA-Ser
Source: RNAcentral